AGUAGCUUUUAAAGCUGGGCCUUAGUGGGACUCUAAAUGCAAUGAAAGCAGUCUGUGUUGAGAGAUUGAAAUGCAUUUCAAAGCCAGGCCUGACUCGGGGUACAAGGAAGAACAGACCUAUGUGCAUUUUGUAGGAAGAAAACUGUGAAUGGAAAAAGGAGAAGGGGAGAGAAACAGGGGGGAAAUCUGGAUAAUACAUUAAAGUAACCAUAAUUUUGGAGAUGCAUUCAUCUUAUUGAAAAUAUGUACGUAACCAGUGAUACCGAAGUCGGAUAUUUGCUCAAUCAGGAUGCUCAACAAUUUGAGCCUUUAAAGUUUGGAGCUGCAUGGGUUUGUGGAGAAAGUCGGCUCGUGAUAUUUCCUCAUGGUUGUGAUUCCUCUUCACUCUUUUGAAUUUGGAAGGAUGGCAUACACAUCUGAAAAAUACCACUACUUCCUUCAUUGGACGGCAAGGUAUUUCUGUUUGGAAAAGUAAUGGAGUCCAGUCAACUUCAUUGAUCUCCAAGGACUGUCAAAAUUAUAAAACUUGCUGUGGAGCUCUGACAUGCCAGAAGCCGCUAGA
Molecule: small RNA, 562 nt
Filed under: Pan troglodytes (chimpanzee)
Lineage: Eukaryota; Metazoa; Chordata; Mammalia; Primates; Hominidae
Description: sense overlapping
Source: RNAcentral